Molecule: ribosomal RNA, 497 nt
Filed under: uncultured bacterium
Lineage: Bacteria
Description: partial 16S ribosomal RNA
Rfam family: Bacterial small subunit ribosomal RNA
Source: RNAcentral
GAUGAACGCUGGCGGCGUGCCUAAUACAUGCAAGUCGAGCGAACGGACGAGAAGCUUGCUUCUCUGAUGUUAGCGGCGGACGGGUGAGUAACACGUGGAUAACCUACCUAUAAGACUGGGAUAACUUCGGAAGACCGGAGCUAAUACCGGAUAAUAUUUUGAACAGCAUGGUUCAAAAGUGAAAGACGGUCUUGCUGUCACUUAUAGAUGGAUCCGCGCUGCAUUAGCUAGUUGGUAAGGUAACGGCUUACCAAGGCAACGAUGCAUAGCCGACCUGAGAGGGUGAUCGGCCACACUGGAACUGAGACACGGUCCAGACUCCUACGGGAGGCAGCAGUAGGGAAUCUUCCGCAAUGGGCGAAAGCCUGACGGAGCAACGCCGCGUGAGUGAUGAAGGUCUUCGGAUCGUAAAACUCUGUUAUUAGGGAAGAACAUAUGUGUAAGUAACUGUGCACAUCUUGACGGUACCUAAUCAGAAAGCCACGGCUAACUACGUG